This is a long non-coding RNA of Mizuhopecten yessoensis (Yesso scallop), 404 nucleotides long. RefSeq lists it as uncharacterized. Lineage: Eukaryota; Metazoa; Mollusca; Bivalvia; Pectinida; Pectinidae. The transcript is spliced from 3 exons. The record is from RefSeq and is a predicted model, not a curated record.
UUACCUUAUCGUCUGUGUAAGGUCAGCAGUUGACUAUUGGGGACGCUUUUCUGUCAUUUAGUAUCAGUAAAAUAUACCAGAUCUGGUCCGAGCAUUGGUAUACAAUGGACAAAUUCCUAGUAGUUUUGCUGUCAUUGUCUCUUCUGAUUGGAUUGGCGGUUUCCUCAACUGUAGAUGAUAAGUUGAAGGAGGACUUUGAUGUGAAGACGACCGUACACUCGAAGUUUGGAUGGUGUAUGCCAGCUAGGUUCGGCAGAUGUAUCAGCAAUGAGUGUGAUCACCAAGGGGAUGAAUGCUGCUGCCCUCCUCUCUUCCCCGGGAAGUAAUCUAGGACUAGUGGGCAAACUCCAACUUUCAAAAUAAACAUGUGAUGUUUGAAAAAACGUACAGUAUAUCAAUGCAUA